UACGUAGGGGGCUAGCGUUGUCCGGAAUCAUUGGGCGUAAAGCGCGCGUAGGCGGCCCGGUAAGUCCGCUCUGAAAGUCCAGGGCUCAACCCUGGAAUGCGGGUGGAUACUGCCGGGCUAGAAUCCGGAAGAGGCGAGUGGAAUUCCUGGUGUAGCGGUGGAAUGCGCAGAUAUCAGGAGGAACACCAAUAGCGAAGGCAGCUCGGUUGGACGGGAAUGACGCUAAGGCCCGAAAGCGUGGGGAGCAAACAGG
This 253-nucleotide ribosomal RNA is filed under the name uncultured bacterium. RNAcentral's name for it is "partial 16S ribosomal RNA". It matches the Rfam family "Bacterial small subunit ribosomal RNA", at positions 524 to 776 of the family's 1533-position model. The record is from RNAcentral.